CCAAUAGCGUAUAUUAAAGUUGUUGCAGUUAAAAAGCUCGUAGUUGAAUUUCGGGAUUGACGUGAUGGUCGUGCCUUAAGGGGUAUGAACUGUUACUGUUGAUUUCUCACCUUCUGGAGAAUCUUGAUGUCCUUAAUUGGGUGUCUUGUGGAUCCAGGACCUUUACCUUGAAAAAAUUAGAGUGUUUAAAGCAGGCAUUUUGCUCGAAUACAUUAGCAUG
This 220-nucleotide ribosomal RNA is filed under the name uncultured Entrophospora. RNAcentral's name for it is "uncultured Claroideoglomus partial small subunit ribosomal RNA". It matches the Rfam family "Eukaryotic small subunit ribosomal RNA", at positions 591 to 811 of the family's 1831-position model. The record is from RNAcentral. Lineage: Eukaryota; Fungi; Glomeromycota; Glomeromycetes; Entrophosporales; Entrophosporaceae.